AGUGUUUGAUCAUGGCUCAGGAGAAACGCUGGCGGCGCACAUAAGACAUGCAAGUCGAACGGAAUCCAGCCAAAUGUUUACCAUGAGGCGAAGAUUUAGUGGCGGACGGGUGAGUAACACGUGAGCAACCUACCUUCAGGAGGGGGAUAACAUUGAGAAAUCAGUGCUAAUACCGCAUAACACUGCGAGAGGACAUCCUCAUGCAGUCAAAGGAGAAAUCCGCCUAAAGAUGGGCUCGCGGCUGAUUAGCCAGUUGGCGGGGUAACGGCCCACCAAAGCGAUGAUCAGUAGCCGAGCUGAGAGGCUCAACGGCCACAUUGGGACUGAGACACGGCCCAGACUCC
Molecule: ribosomal RNA, 344 nt
Filed under: uncultured Oscillospiraceae bacterium
Lineage: Bacteria; Bacillati; Bacillota; Clostridia; Eubacteriales; Oscillospiraceae
Description: bacterial SSU rRNA
Rfam family: Bacterial small subunit ribosomal RNA
Source: RNAcentral